This 331-nucleotide long non-coding RNA is filed under the name Arabidopsis lyrata. RNAcentral describes it as "long non-coding RNA (ALYR_LNC001850)". The record is from RNAcentral. Lineage: Eukaryota; Viridiplantae; Streptophyta; Magnoliopsida; Brassicales; Brassicaceae.
UUUUUUUUUUUUUAAGUUGGUCCAAUGUUCAGUCUCUCUUUUUUAUCCAAUGGAGUAAAACUAACGUGCGUGUUAGAAAGUCAUUGGUGGGUUCUUUAACGUUGACGGAAACUUUUCGCAAUCAUAACUCCUUUAAACAAAAACUAAAUAAGCAUGUAUAAUCAUUUACAUUACACGUGUCUCUUCAAAGUUCACAAUCUCUUAAUUAUCAUCACACCGGCUAUAUCUCAGUAUCUACAGUGUACUUCUAUAUUUCACGUAAGUAUUAGUAUACUAUUUGUUAAUUUGCGAUCCAAUUCACAUUUCAUACACUUUUUCGAAAUUUUAAAGC